GAUAAGAAGAAUAACACUGUUGAUGGAAUUUUAUUCUAAGCAUUGAGGGAGUCAACAAUGAGAAAACUGCAAAGAAUCAAGGCCAAGUCCUUUUAGGUGAAGAUGGCAAUCUGGAAAGACCCUAGAAUAAUACCAUUUAGAGAAGACCACUAAUAUGUGCCAUUAGAGCUUUAAGUACAUUAUGUCUAGUUAAAGCCAUGCUGACAAUCGGUAUUAAGACCCAAGAAAUAUCAAAUUACUUGCCCAUUUUUACCCAGUUAAAGACUAAAGGCAAGAAUGUUUAGAGAUAUUUUUACUGUUCCAUUUUGCCUCAAAAAAUGUUAUGGGCAAUUAGUAGAAUAGAUACACAGGAGAAAUCUUAAAAGCCUUAACUCCAUACAGAAUGCCCCUCAAAUUUAUUGUGAAUUGUAUUAUAAUGAAUACAUUAAUAAAAAGCAUUAAUAAUACUCAGUAUGCAAUAAUUUACUAUUGUUUGUUGCUGAGUUAUUUAAACACCAUUUCUUGCCAGGUCAGAUAGAUCUUGUUCAACUUUGGAAAUGUUACUUAG
RNAcentral lists this long non-coding RNA (547 nucleotides) under Bos taurus (domestic cattle). RNAcentral's name for it is "long non-coding RNA NONBTAT011524". The record is from RNAcentral. Lineage: Eukaryota; Metazoa; Chordata; Mammalia; Artiodactyla; Bovidae.